This 795-nucleotide ribosomal RNA is filed under the name Niphargus sarii. Its description in RNAcentral is "partial 28S ribosomal RNA". Lineage: Eukaryota; Metazoa; Arthropoda; Malacostraca; Amphipoda; Niphargidae. The record is from RNAcentral.
GAGUAUAAGCCAAUGGAGCUUGGAAGGCUUCCGCAGAUGGUGUCCACCAUACGUGGUGUUCUUAAGACCUUGAGUCUCGCUCGUCAGGCGUAGCAUUGAGUUUGCCAGGUUAGCUGUCGUGCGGGGGUUCGGCUUGGAAGUCUCAGGCUUCGGCCGAAGGGCUUCCGGCUGUCCCCUUUUGAAUGGACGUUCAGAGCUCUUGUGUCUAAUGCGGUUAUGCCCACCACAGCACGUUGCGAGGUCACCCACAGGCUCAAACUGCCGAUCGCGUGUCCAGGACGAUGGCAACGAUGCGUUGUUGGCGCGUGUGCGGGAGCGAGUCUCUCCACGCCGUCACACGCGUGUCUAGUCCUGGGUCGGGCGGCGACCGAGAUAAACCUGGUACGAUCCUCUUGCGACGAGCUGCUUUCUGGCCAGACCGACGCCCAGGCGCCUCCACUGUGCCGGAGGCGUCAAUCCCAGGCGGUGUGAACCCAGCUGCAUUAUGCAAGGUCUCUCAGCCGGGCGUUGGUCUGAGUGGUGUCAAGUCCAGCACCAUCGGUCACGUCUCGAAACACGGGCCAAGGAGUAUAGCAUGUGUGCAAGUCUAAGGGUCUCACAAAACCCGAAGGCGAAGUGAAAGCAAGACUGUGGCGGGGGAGCCACGGCAAACCCGCCGGCCUAGUGCGGCGCCUCGUGCGUCGCCUGGCUUCAAGCAGAGCUGAUCCUGUUUUCUCUGUUAAUUCUUGGUGCAGGCGCAAGCUCCGGGCUCACGUACAACACUGGUGACGCCUCGCGCGUGGCUGUGUUGUGAGC